RNAcentral lists this small RNA (1646 nucleotides) under Pan troglodytes (chimpanzee). RNAcentral describes it as "processed transcript". Lineage: Eukaryota; Metazoa; Chordata; Mammalia; Primates; Hominidae. The record is from RNAcentral.
GGUUGGGCUCGCGGCGCUGUGAUUGGUCUGCCCGGACUCCGCCUCCAGCGCAUGUCAUUAGCAUCUCAUUAGCUGUCCGCUCGGGCUCUGGAGGCAGCCAACGCCGCCAGUCUGAGGCAGGUGCCCGACAUGGCGAGUGUAGUGCUGCCGAGCGGAUCCCAGUGUGCGGCGGCAGCGGCGGCGGCGGCGCCUCCCGGGCUCCGGCUCCGGCUUCUGCUGUUGCUCUUCUCCGCCGCGGCACUGAUCCCCACAGGUGAUGGGCAGAAUCUGUUUACGAAAGACGUGACAGUGAUCGAGGGAGAGGUUGCGACCAUCAGUUGCCAAGUCAAUAAGAGUGACGACUCUGUGAUUCAGCUACUGAAUCCCAACAGGCAGACCAUUUAUUUCAGGGACUUCAGGCCUUUGAAGGACAGCAGGUUUCAGUUGCUGAAUUUUUCUAGCAGUGAACUCAAAGUAUCAUUGACAAACGUCUCAAUUUCUGAUGAAGGAAGAUACUUUUGCCAGCUCUAUACCGAUCCCCCACAGGAAAGUUACACCACCAUCACAGUCCUGGUCCCACCACGUAAUCUGAUGAUCGAUAUCCAGAAAGACACUGCGGUGGAAGGUGAGGAGAUUGAAGUCAACUGCACUGCUAUGGCCAGCAAGCCAGCCACGACUAUCAGGUGGUUCAAAGGGAACACAGAGCUAAAAGGCAAAUCAGAGGUGGAAGAGUGGUCAGACAUGUACACUGUGACCAGUCAGCUGAUGCUGAAGGUGCACAAGGAGGAUGAUGGGGUCCCAGUGAUCUGCCAGGUGGAGCACCCUGCGGUCACUGGAAACCUGCAGACCCAGCGGUAUCUAGAAGUACAGUAUAAGCCUCAAGUGCACAUUCAGAUGACUUAUCCUUUACAAGGCCUAACCCGGGAAGGGGACGCGCUUGAGUUAACAUGUGAAGCCAUCGGGAAGCCCCAGCCUGUGAUGGUAACUUGGGUGAGAGUCGAUGAUGAAAUGCCUCAACACGCCGUACUGUCUGGGCCCAACCUGUUCAUCAAUAACCUAAACAAAACAGAUAAUGGUACAUACCGCUGUGAAGCUUCAAACAUAGUGGGGAAAGCUCACUCGGAUUAUAUGCUGUAUGUAUACGAUUCCCGAGCAGGUGAAGAAGGCUCGAUCAGGGCAGUGGAUCAUGCCGUGAUCGGUGGCGUCGUGGCGGUGGUGGUGUUCGCCAUGCUGUGCUUGCUCAUCAUUCUGGGGCGCUAUUUUGCCAGACAUAAAGGCCUGUUUUCUCUAACCUCCUCUCCCAGAAUAAAGUGAUGAGGGCAGCUAUAGUGUUGCAAUUAGGAACAUGAAUCUUUUAUCGUUUGGACAAGGAAGGGAAAAUGCCAUUACUGUCAACUGAAAUGUCCUACUUGGGUUUUUUGCUCCUACUUCCCUGCCAAAGCCCAUUGCUGCUGCUGAAAUUGUAUAACAUUCACAGCUGUUCUUGAUGGCUUGAUUCUUAACACAGCCAGAAAUGUAGCCCGGGAGAUGCUUAAGACAGUUUAUGGAAAAUAAUAGAUUUCCUUGCAGAGACACCAAUGCAUCGAGAAGGGCCUUGAGUCACGUUAGCCCCAGCCAAGAUCACCAAUCUUCUCUCUAUCUGGCUUCAGUUACAAAGGCUAUGCUUU